ACCGUAGCAGCGGGGGUGGGGUUCCCCGGGUUCCCCUCACGUCCCCUGGAGCCGGGUGAUCGGCACCCUACCCGGAGUCUAGCUACUCGAAUAAAUUAAAAACAGGACUGCUGAGAAUGACUGAGUAGACCUAAACCUCAGGCCCCUAACGCGCGGGCCUGGAAACCGCUCUCCCGAGGGCCGAGGGGCGAAGGGAACCAAGCCGAGCUGAGUCAGGGCCCAACCGAGGGUUGAGGCCCAGUGAGGACCUGGGGGAAGAGAGGAAGAGAAACGUCAAUUGGUUGCACCUUGCUCACCCCCAACCUGGGCCCUGGCCUACAACCCAGAGAUGUGCCCUGACUGGGGAUUGAGCAGUGACCCUUUGGUCCACAGGACAAUGCUCAGCCCACUGAGCCACACCAGUCAGGGCUCAUUUUUAUUAAUAUUUUCAGUUUUUCUAUCCUCAGCUAUAAGCAGUAGUGCUGCAGCAGAUACUUCAUGACUAAAUACAUGCCUUUAGAGAGUUUACCUCUAACUGACAAAAUAAGUCAUUACUAUAUAAAAAAGCCAGUUGCUUAUUUUUAAAUUUCAAUGUUGGCAUUGUGAAGGUCAAGGUGGAAGGAUUUGAAAUGUCAGGAAGGAGAAAGCAAUCACAGUGGAGGACACUGUAACAGUUACCUAAUAAAGAACACUUGAAGUGAUAGAGAUGUGAUAAAUAAUCCGCAAAAUGCCAUUUUUCUUCUUAUACAGGUCCCCAAUGUGUGAGAGCCAACUACAAAAAUCAGGUAUAAAUGACAUAUGACUAUUUUCCAAGCUACCUAGGUUGAAAAGAAAUGAAGAGUAUUGAUUUAUUCCUUAUUAUUUAUCUUCAUAGACUAUACAUAAACUCCUAGGGAGCAAAGUAUGUUUUUGUAUGAUUUAUACAACAUUGAUGUACAAUAAAAAUAAAACUGGUUGUCAUCUUCUAAACAAACUUAUUCACGUAUAUGAGGUGGAUAUUGCCUGUUUAUAAUUGUGUAAAAUGAAAGUCACUUUCAGAAGCUCAUAGGAUAAGGUCUUGGACCAGAUUAAACGUAUUAUUUUUUCUUCUCUUUCCCUCUCUCUUUUCUGUCCUCAAAUAUUGAUACUUGAAAAGAAAUUGAGUUAAUCAUAAUUGUCACUAUAUUAACCAUGUUGCUUUACAUGGUAAAAUUAACAACAGAGGCCCUGGCUGGUGUAGCUCAGUGGAUUGAGUACUGGCCUGCAAACCAAAGGGUCACUGAUUAGAUU
Long non-coding RNA from Phyllostomus discolor (pale spear-nosed bat), 1248 nucleotides. RefSeq lists it as uncharacterized. Lineage: Eukaryota; Metazoa; Chordata; Mammalia; Chiroptera; Phyllostomidae. The transcript is spliced from 3 exons. The record is from RefSeq and is a predicted model, not a curated record.